AACGAACGCUGGCGGCAGGCCUAACACAUGCAAGUCGAACGCCGUAGCAAUACGGAGUGGCAGACGGGUGAGUAACACGUGGGAACGUACCCUUCGGUUCGGAAUAACUCAGGGAAACUUGAGCUAAUACCGGAUACGUCCGAGAGGAGAAAGAUUAUCGCCGAGGAUCGGCCCGCGUCUGAUUAGCUAGUUGGUAAGGGUAAAGCCUACCAAGGCAUCGAUCAGUAGCUGGUCUGAGAGGACGACCAGCCACACUGGACUGAGACACGGCCCAGACUCCUACGGGAGGCAGCAGUGGGGAAGUUUUGGACAAUGGGCGCAAGCCUGAUCCAGCAAUGCCGCGUGAGUGAAGAAGGCC
This 358-nucleotide ribosomal RNA is filed under the name uncultured bacterium. RNAcentral describes it as "bacterial SSU rRNA". It matches the Rfam family "Bacterial small subunit ribosomal RNA", at positions 29 to 416 of the family's 1533-position model. The record is from RNAcentral.